Molecule: transfer RNA, 85 nt
Filed under: Desulfovibrio sp.
Lineage: Bacteria; Pseudomonadati; Thermodesulfobacteriota; Desulfovibrionia; Desulfovibrionales; Desulfovibrionaceae
Also listed under: 2 other names
Description: tRNA-Leu
Rfam family: tRNA
About the family: Transfer RNA (tRNA) molecules are approximately 80 nucleotides in length.
Source: RNAcentral
GCGAGAGUGGCGGAAUGGGCAGACGCACUGGAUUUAGGAUCCAGCGGCUUCGGCUGUGGGGGUUCAAGUCCCCCCUCUCGCACCA